Molecule: long non-coding RNA, 996 nt
Organism: Camellia sinensis
Lineage: Eukaryota; Viridiplantae; Streptophyta; Magnoliopsida; Ericales; Theaceae
Source: RefSeq, a predicted model, not a curated record
AUGUCUCAUUUGAUCUCAUUUGGGGUUUUUACAUUUAAGCACGUGUCUAACCCUAUUGCUCCAAUGCAUUUAGGAGCUACACGUUUAAGUGAAGUCUGCCCUAAAAUGCAAUGCUCCAAAACGAGUCCGGAUCCUCAGUCACCCUUGUCUGCCGCCUUUUCCUGUAGCGCCCCAAAGCGACGUCGUUUUGGGGCAACUUUUCAAGAAAAAAAAAAAACAUAACUCAGAAAUGGGGAAGAAAGAGAGCAGCGGCACCACCACCUCCCCGCCAUUGUUGCCAGACCUUCAAGCAAAACCAAACCCUCUCUCUCUCUUCAACCCUUUGUUGUAUCAGUCAUAAUCUUGAGCCCUAAACUGUUGUUCAAAUGCAACUUUUUUUUGUCUUCAAAAUACUCCCCCUCUCCUCAAUCAAGUCUCCACACACCAUCAUGUCACCAUAGUCAAAAAUCUCACAUGCAUUCCACAGAUUCGAAAAACAAAAACGCACACCAAUUAAACCAAACCAAAAAUCUUACAAUUCGCAAAUCACAAACCCAUUAUAAACCCUCAAUUUAAGCUCCAACAGCCUGCUCAUCAGAAAAGGAGGUAACUUCUUUGCAAAAUCAAUACUCACUCAGAUCUGAAUUACUCGGCAGCCUCCAUACAAUUGACUUGAGCUCUAAGAGAUAGAGAAGAGGAAGGAAAGGUAGGCUGCGGCGAAGAUGGAAGAGAGGAAGGGACGUUGGGCUGCGGCGGAGAGAGUAGGGAGGUGGUGGUGCCGUAGGUGAAGGAGGCCAAAGGUCGCCAGCUACAAGGGUCCCGGUGGUGUGGGUUACCCACCGCUGCUCUCUUUCUUUCCCAUUUCUGAGUUUUGUUUGUGUUUUUUUUUUUUUUCCUUGAAAAGUUGCUCCAAAACGACGUCCGCUACAGGAAAAGGGCGGCAGACAGAGGCGACUGAGGAUUCGGACUUGCUCCAAAACACACGAUAAUUAAUUUUUAACACUACUAAUCAUAACA